RNAcentral lists this ribosomal RNA (1020 nucleotides) under Succinea putris (European ambersnail). RNAcentral describes it as "16S ribosomal RNA". The record is from RNAcentral. Lineage: Eukaryota; Metazoa; Mollusca; Gastropoda; Stylommatophora; Succineidae.
UUUGGGGUUUUCUUAAAAUAAAAAUUAAAAAUUUAUACCCUUCUAUUAAAAAAAAAAAUCCCCAGUUUUUUAUUACCUUUUGGAUAAUGGGUAAACAAUAAUUUUUAUAUUUUUUUUAUUUUCCCCAAAUAAAAAGAACCAAUAAUAAACUAAUUACCUAAUGGAGCAAAAUUAUUUUUUUUAAGUUUUAUUAGGGAAGAAAUGGCAACAAUUUUUAUGAAAUCCAAAUGGAAAAAAAAUAUAUAUAGGAAAGGGUAAAAACCCCGUUAAAAAGUUACAAAAUUUUUUACUUUAUUAAAAAUUGGUAUGUUUUUUUUAAAAAAUUUUGUUUUUUUUUUAAAAAUCAAAAAAAAAAUUUUCAUUUUUUUAAAAAAAAAUUUUUUUUUUUUUUUUUUUUUAACUAAAAAAAAAAAAUCCUUAAGGGUUAAAUUAGUAUUAUGAAAAAAAUCCAUUAAGGAACCCCUCUUAAUUUAAUCAACUGGUUAUCAAAAACAUAGCCUAAAGGAAUUAUUUUAGGUAAGUCCUGCUCAUGAUCUUUUAAUAGCCGCAGUACUUUGACUGUGCUAAGGUAGCAUAAUCAAUUGUCUUUUAAUUAAAGACUAGAAUAAAUGAAUUUAUGAACUAAAUUCUUUAUUUAUAUAUUUUAUUAAAAUUUAUUUAUUAGGUGAAAAUACCUAAAUUUAUUUAUUAGACGAGAAGACCCCAGGAAUUUAUUUUUUUUUUUUAUUGGGGCGAUAUCUAAACACAUUUUAUAAACUUUAGAUUUUUUUAUAAAACGAGAAUGUUAAUAAAAAUUAAAUUACCCUGGGGAUAACAGCAUAAUUUUUUAUAAAGAUUGUGACCUCGAUGUUGGAUUAGAAAAAUUUUUACUUAAAGAGUAACUUUUUAUGUUCUGUUCGAACAAUAAUUUUUUAAUUUUCUACAUGAUCUGAGUUCAGACCGGCGUAAGCCAGGUCAGUUUCUAUCUAUUUUUUGUUAUUUAGUAGUACGAAAGGACCCUAAUUAAUUUUAAUUUUAUUU